GGAGCCGGACAGACCGUCGCUGCGGGCCAUUGGCCCGGAGAGGAAAGUCCGGGCUCCACAGGGCAGGACGCUGGGUAACACCCAGGAGGGGCGACCCUCGGACAGCGCCACAGAAAGCAAACCGCCGUGCUUUGCGCGGUAAGGGUGAAACGGUGGGGCAAGAGCCCACCAGAUGCCGCGGUGACGCGGCAUGCUCGGCAUACCCCGUCUGGAGCAAGACCAAAUAGGGAAGGCGGCCGGCCCGGCCCAUGCCUUCCGGGUAGGUUGCUUGAGGGCGCGGGCAAUCGCGCUCCUAGAGGAAUGACGGUCACAUGCGACUUGUCGCAUGACAGAACCCGGCUUAUCGUCCGGCUCCCGCU
Molecule: non-coding RNA, 359 nt
Organism: Desulfovibrio sp. 6_1_46AFAA
Lineage: Bacteria; Pseudomonadati; Thermodesulfobacteriota; Desulfovibrionia; Desulfovibrionales; Desulfovibrionaceae
Rfam family: Bacterial RNase P class A
About the family: Ribonuclease P (RNase P) is a ubiquitous endoribonuclease, found in archaea, bacteria and eukarya as well as chloroplasts and mitochondria. Its best characterised activity is the generation of mature 5'-ends of tRNAs by cleaving the 5'-leader elements of precursor-tRNAs.
Source: Rfam